Molecule: long non-coding RNA, 1137 nt
Filed under: Mytilus galloprovincialis (Mediterranean mussel)
Lineage: Eukaryota; Metazoa; Mollusca; Bivalvia; Mytilida; Mytilidae
Source: RNAcentral
UACACUUAUAAGAAAUAACCAACAACAAGAGUGCACACGCUGAAAUGUCUCGCCUUCUUUACUAAUUAUUGAUAUUAUGUUGAUAGUCCUAAGUAUAAAACUUUAUUAAAAACUGUCACAUAAACUUAGCAUUAACCAAGAUAACUAAACAAAGACCAAUGAACCAUGAAAAUGAGGUCAAGGUCAGAUGAACCAUGCCAGGCAGACAUGUACAGCUAACAAUGCUUCCAUACAACAAAUAUAGUUGACCUAUUACUUAUAGUUUAAGAAAAAUAGACCAAAACACAAAAACUUAACACUGAGCAAUGAACCGUGAAAAUGAGGUCGAGGUCAAAUAAAACCUGCGGGACUGACAUAUAGAUCAUAAAAUAUUUCCAUACACCAAAUAUAGUUGACCUAUAUGGCAUAUAGUAUUAGAUAAAAAGACCAAAACUCAAAAACUUAACUUUGACCACUCAACCAUGAAAAUGAGCUCAAGGUCAGAUGACAUCUGCCCGCUAGACAUGUACAUCUUACAAUCAUUCCAUACAACAAAUAUAGUAGAUCUAUUGCAUAAAGUAUGAGAAAAACAGACCAAAACACAAAAACUUAACUAUAACCACUGAACCAUGAAAAUGAGGUCAAGGUUAGAUGACACCUGCCAGUUGGACAUGUACACCUUACAGUCCUUCCAUACACCGAAUAUACUAGACCUAUUGCUUAUAGUAUCUGAGAUAUGGACUUGACCACCAAAACUUAACCUUGUUCACUGAUCCAUGAAAUGAGGUCGAGGUCAAGUGAAAACUGUCUGACGGGCAUGAGGACCUUGCAAGGUACGCAUAUACCAAAUAUAAUUAUCCUAUUACUUAUGAUAAGAGAGAAUUCAACAUUACAAAAAAUCUGAACUUUUUUUUCAAGUGGUCACUGAACCAUGAAAAUGAGGUCAAGGACAUUUGACAUGUGACUGACGGAAACUUCGUAACAUGAGGCAUCUAUAUACAAAGUAUGAAGCAUCCAGGUCUUCCACCCUCUAAAAUAUAAAGCUUUUAAAAAGUUAGCUAACGCCGCCGCCGUAGCCGCCGUAGCCGCCGCCGCCGCCGGAUCACUAUCCCUAUGUCGAGCUUUCUGCAACAAAAGUUGCAGGCUCGACAAAAAUGU